This 515-nucleotide ribosomal RNA is filed under the name uncultured bacterium. Its description in RNAcentral is "partial 16S ribosomal RNA". It matches the Rfam family "Bacterial small subunit ribosomal RNA", at positions 28 to 523 of the family's 1533-position model. The record is from RNAcentral.
GAUGAACGCUGGCGGCGUGCCUAAUACAUGCAAGUCGAGCGAAUGGAUUAAGAGCUUGCUCUUAUGAAGUUAGCGGCGGACGGGUGAGUAACACGUGGGUAACCUGCCCAUAAGACUGGGAUAACUCCGGGAAACCGGGGCUAAUACCGGAUAACAUUUUGCACCGCAUGGUUCGAAAUUGAAAGGCGGCUUCGGCUGUCACUUAUGGAUGGACCCGCGUCGCAUUAGCCAGUUGGUGAGGUAACGGCUCACCAAGGCAACGAUGCGUAGCCGACCUGAGAGGGUGAUCGGCCACACUGGGACUGAGACACGGCCCAGACUCCUACGGGAGGCAGCAGUAGGGAAUCUUCCGCAAUGGACGAAAGUCUGACGGAGCAACGCCGCGUGAGUGAUGAAGGCUUUCGGGUCGUAAAACUCUGUUGUUAGGGAAGAACAAGUGCUAGUUGAAUAAGCUGGCACCUUGACGGUACCUAACCAGAAAGCCACGGCUAACUACGUGCCAGCCGCCGCUGUAA